Molecule: ribosomal RNA, 468 nt
Filed under: uncultured bacterium
Lineage: Bacteria
Description: partial 16S ribosomal RNA
Rfam family: Bacterial small subunit ribosomal RNA
Source: RNAcentral
GACGAACGCUGGCGGCGUGCUUAACACAUGCAAGUCGAACGGAAAGGCCCUGCUUUUGCGGGGUGCUCGAGUGGCGAACGGGUGAGUAACACGUGAGUAACCUGCCCUUGACUUUGGGAUAACUUCAGGAAACUGGGGCUAAUACCGGAUAGGAGCUCCUGCUGCAUGGUGGGGGUUGGAAAGUUUCGGCGUUUGGGGAUGGACUCGCGGCUUAUCAGCUUGUUGGUGGGGUAGUGGCUUACCAAGGCUUUGACGGGUAGCCGGCCUGAGAGGGUGACCGGCCACAUUGGGACUGAGAUACGGCCCAGACUCCUACGGGAGGCAGCAGUGGGGAAUAUUGCACAAUGGGCGGAAGCCUGAUGCAGCAACGCCGCGUGCGGGAUGACGGCCUUCGGGUUGUAAACCGCUUUCGCCUGUGACGAAGCGUGAGUGACGGUAAUGGGUAAAGAAGCACCGGCUAACUACGUG